CCUACGGGUGGCAGCAGUGGGGAAUAUUGCACAAUGGGGGAAACCCUGAUGCAGCGAAGCCGCGUGAGUGAAGAAGUAAUUCGUUGUGUAAAACUCUAUCAGCAGGGGAGAAAAUGACGGUACCUGAGUAAGAAGCCCCGGCUAACCACGGGCCAGCAGCCGCGGGAAUACGUAGGGGGCAAGCGUUAUCCGGAUUUACUGGGUUUAAAGGGCGUGUAGCCGGGUUGACAAGUCAGAUGGGAAAUCCUGCGGGUUAACCGCAGAACUGCAUUUGAAACUGUUGAUCUUGAGUACUGGAGAGGCAGACGGAAUUCGUAGUGUAGCGGUGAAAUGCGUAGAUAUUAGGAGGAACCCCAGUGGCGAAGGCAGUAUGCUGGACAGCAACUGACGGUGAGGCGCGAAAGCGUGGGGAGCAAACAGGAUUAGAUACCCUUGUAGUC
Molecule: ribosomal RNA, 440 nt
Filed under: uncultured bacterium
Lineage: Bacteria
Description: partial 16S ribosomal RNA
Rfam family: Bacterial small subunit ribosomal RNA
Source: RNAcentral